GCCGGGGUGGUGAAACUGGUUAGACACGAGAGACUUAAAAUCUCUUGGUAGCAAUACCGUGUGGGUUCGAGUCCCUCCCUCGGCA
RNAcentral lists this transfer RNA (85 nucleotides) under bacterium. Its description in RNAcentral is "tRNA-Leu". It matches the Rfam family "tRNA". From Rfam's summary of the family: Transfer RNA (tRNA) molecules are approximately 80 nucleotides in length. RNAcentral also lists the same sequence under 2 other names. The record is from RNAcentral.